Non-coding RNA from Phrynosoma platyrhinos (Desert horned lizard), 72 nucleotides. NCBI's taxonomy places the organism in Eukaryota, Metazoa, Chordata, Lepidosauria, Squamata, Phrynosomatidae. The record is from the annotation of a GenBank genome assembly.
GUGAACAUGGAGUAGUGGUUUGAGCAUUGGAUUAGGACUCCAGGAGACCGGGGUUCAAAUCCCUGCUUGACC